GUGGGGAAUAUUGGACAAUGGGCGAAAGCCUGAUCCAGCCAUGCCGCGUGUGUGAAGAAGGUCUUCGGAUUGUAAAGCACUUUAAGUUGGGAGGAAGGGCAGUAAGUUAAUACCUUGCUGUUUUGACGUUACCGACAGAAUAAGCUCCGGCUAACUUCGUGCCAGCAGCCGCGGUAAUACGAAGGGUGCAAGCGUUAAUCGGAAUUACUGGGCGUUAAGCGCGCGUAGGUGGUUUUGUAAGUUGGAGGUGAAAUCCCCGGGCUCAACCUGGGAACUGCCUCCAAAACUGCAUGACUAGAGUACGGUAGAGGGUAGUGGAAUUUCCUGUGUAGCGGUGAAAUGCGUAGAUAUAGGAAGGAACACCAGUGGCGAAGGCGACUACCUGGACUGAUACUGACACUGAGGUGCGAAAGCGUAGGGAGCAAACAGGAUUAGAUACCCGGGUAGUCC
Molecule: ribosomal RNA, 450 nt
Filed under: uncultured bacterium
Lineage: Bacteria
Description: bacterial SSU rRNA
Rfam family: Bacterial small subunit ribosomal RNA
Source: RNAcentral